Lysobacter gummosus is the source of this 83-nucleotide non-coding RNA. NCBI's taxonomy places the organism in Bacteria, Pseudomonadati, Pseudomonadota, Gammaproteobacteria, Lysobacterales, Lysobacteraceae. The record is from Rfam.
GUCGGGAGGGCGGCUAAUAAAAUACCCGCAAGGGGAAUACGCCCGCCGUCUGUGUGCGGUUUUGAGCCUCCCGACUUCCCGCC